Molecule: long non-coding RNA, 1348 nt
Organism: Lotus japonicus
Lineage: Eukaryota; Viridiplantae; Streptophyta; Magnoliopsida; Fabales; Fabaceae
Exons: 2
Source: RefSeq, a predicted model, not a curated record
CUUGUUGAUGGAAUUCCUCUUGUGUAUAGUAGCAAGGUGGUGCAUAAAUAAGCUGUUGGAAUUGCCCUUGUGGAUGAUAGCAAGGUGGGUCACACCAAAUAUUUUCAAAAUUCUCUUGUGGAUAGCAUUGAGGUGACUCAAACUGUUGUUGAUGGUUCUUGAGCAACAUUUGUGUAUCAGAAAAUAGUAGCUCGUUGAGUCUGGCUUCUAGCUUAUCAUGUUUAGCUUCCAUCGCUGCAAAAAAACUUGACAAACUAACACUUGUGUUUCGUUACUUUCAAAAAUUAAUUCCACUAGAAACAAAGAUAAUAAAAAAAACAAAAGGAUAGGGAAAAACAACGUUAGUGGAAAAAGAAAAGAAAAUAAAAUAAAAAUAAAGUUAGUAACGAGAUUAUAUAAAAGAAAUAAAAGGAAAAAGAUAGAAAACGAGAAAAAAAAAUAUUAGUUAGCAACUAACGGAAAAAGAGGAAAAAAAAAAACAUUACAAAAAAAGUAAGGAAAAUCUAAACGAGAUCUGAAAAAAAAAAUGUUAGAAACAAAAGAAAAAAAAAGCAAUCUAGUAAUAAUAAUAAGAAGAAUAAUAAAGGGAAAGAAGAUAGAUAAGAUAGCACAAUAAAAUAAAAGAGAGAAAAGGUAGAGAAAAAAAAAAAUAGUGAUCUAAAAAUAGAAGAUAGGCAAAAGAAUUAAAAGAACUAAACUGAUGGGCCAAGGGUUCGGGCUUGAAAAGAAUAUUGAAACCCUAGCCCACUUUGCAUGGGGUUUAGUCUAGAGGGGGGAAAACCCUGUUCUUUCACAAUCAGAACAGAACCUGCACAAACUCACGUAAGAACAGAAAGGGAAGCAUACAGAAGAGAGAAAAGAGAGAACUCGAGAGAGAGCAAGAGAAGCCGCCGCCGCCCAAGCGAUAACCAUCAUCGUGUAGCGCGCGCAAGGGAGUGGAGGAGGUCGCGCGCGAGGGAGAGAAGAGGGACGGCGAGAGAAGCUGAGAACGUGGACAGCAACGUUUCUGAACCGUGUUCAUCACCAAAGCUUCUUCUUUUCAGACCAAGAACCCAAGAUGGUCGUGAAGAUAAUGGCGAUGACUCAUUCUUGGGAGUUGAUGCUACGUGACGUGCCAAUACCGGAGGACGACUACACUUCAGAGGAAGAGGAAGAGGCUAAGGAAUAGGGUUUGGGUUGAGAGUCUUUUGUUUUCUGUUGGGGUUGAGAGUUUCCGAAGUGUUGGUAUCGAACAAUUUUAUUGCUUAAAUUCGAAUGAACAAGUUUUGAUGUAAUCUUUAUUUUCAUUCAGGCCUUUGAUUCGUACUCUUUACAGUUGGUUAUUUAAAAAGUUUUACGAUGUUGGUUA